GGAUUGUAGCUCAGGGGUGGAGCGCUUCCCUAGCAUGUGCGAGGCCCUGGGUUCAAUCCUCAGCACCA
RNAcentral lists this transfer RNA (68 nucleotides) under Marmota monax (woodchuck). Its description in RNAcentral is "tRNA.Ala". Lineage: Eukaryota; Metazoa; Chordata; Mammalia; Rodentia; Sciuridae. The record is from RNAcentral.